RNAcentral lists this ribosomal RNA (492 nucleotides) under uncultured bacterium. RNAcentral's name for it is "partial 16S ribosomal RNA". It matches the Rfam family "Bacterial small subunit ribosomal RNA", at positions 29 to 507 of the family's 1533-position model. The record is from RNAcentral.
AGUGAACGCUGGCGGUAGGCCUAACACAUGCAAGUCGAACGGCAGCACAGUAAGAGCUUGCUCUUACGGGUGGCGAGUGGCGGACGGGUGAGGAAUACAUCGGAAUCUACUUUUUCGUGGGGGAUAACGUAGGGAAACUUACGCUAAUACCGCAUACGACCUACGGGUGAAAGCAGGGGAUCUUCGGACCUUGCGCGAUUGAAUGAGCCGAUGUCGGAUUAGCUAGUUGGCGGGGUAAAGGCCCACCAAGGCGACGAUCCGUAGCUGGUCUGAGAGGAUGGUCGGCCGCACUAGAACUGAGACGCGGUCCAGACUCCUACGGGAGGCAGCAGUGGGGAAUAUUGGACAAUGGGCGCAAGCCUGAUCCAGCCAUACCGCGUGGGUGAAGAAGGCCUUCGGGUUGUAAAGCCCUUUUGUUGGGAAAGAAAAGCAGCAGGUUAAGACCCCGCUGUUCUGACGGUACCCAAAGAAUAAGCACCGGCUAACUUCGUG